This 788-nucleotide ribosomal RNA is filed under the name uncultured bacterium. Its description in RNAcentral is "bacterial SSU rRNA". It matches the Rfam family "Bacterial small subunit ribosomal RNA", at positions 636 to 1424 of the family's 1533-position model. The record is from RNAcentral.
UNUGACUUGAGUGCAGAAGGGGAGAGUGGAAUUCCAUGUGUAGCGGUGAAAUGCGUAGAUAUAUGGAGGAACACCAGUGGCGAAAGCGGCUCUCUGGUCUGUCACUGACGCUGAGGCUCGAAAGCGUGGGUAGCGAACAGGAUUAGAUACCCUGGUAGUCCACGCCGUAAACGAUGAGUGCUAGGUGUUAGGCCCUUUCCGGGGCUUAGUGCCGGAGCUAACGCAAUAAGCACUCCGCCUGGGGAGUACGACCGCAAGGUUGAAACUCAAAGGAAUUGACGGGGGCCCGCACAAGCGGUGGAGCAUGUGGUUUAAUUCGAAGCAACGCGAAGAACCUUACCAGGUCUUGACAUCCCGAUGCUAUUCUUAGAGAUAGGAAGUUACUUCGGUACAUCGGAGACAGGUGGUGCAUGGUUGUCGUCAGCUCGUGUCGUGAGAUGUUGGGUUAAGUCCCGCAACGAGCGCAACCCUUAUUGUUAGUUGCCAUCAUUAAGUUGGGCACUCUAGCGAGACUGCCGGUAAUAAACCGGAGGAAGGUGGGGAUGACGUCAAAUCAUCAUGCCCCUUAUGACCUGGGCUACACACGUGCUACAAUGGUCGGUACAACGAGUUGCGAGCCGGUGACGGCAAGCUAAUCUCUGAAAGCCGAUCUCAGUUCGGAUUGGAGGCUGCAACUCGCCUCCAUGAAGUCGGAAUCGCUAGUAAUCGCGGAUCAGCACGCCGCGGUGAAUACGUUCCCGGGCCUUGUACACACCGCCCGUCACACCACGAGAGUUUGUAACACCCGA